GGUAUCGGUUGCUCCUUCUUGCUAUUUGUAGGCGAUCUCGAAAGAUCAACUGGCUCCAAUGGAGACACUACAGGCUCCAUCAAAAUUCAGAUCUUCACGUCAUCCACCGGCGCUUGGGGGCCUGUUGUCUCGACCCAUGGUGGUUUUUUCUAUCAGCGGUGGUGUGAAAUAAGACGGGACGCCACUGCAGUCAUUCUUUAUGGCGGCAUCAUCCACUGGCUGGUGCAACAUGGCAGCGAGAUCCUUACCUACGACGUUCGCACAGCAGAGCCAGGCAUAUGCAUGAUGGUGCAGCUCCCAGCCACUACUAGAAACUUCAAAGCAGAGGAACUCCACUUGGGGUCCUUCUCCUUGCCGGACGGACACAAGCUAUUAAGGAUGCUCGCCACCGAUGGUUUCCGACUGUCCAUGUGGCAUCAACUCCCAAGCGGUGAUUGGGCUCCAGAGGCCAUGAUUGACAUGAAGGAGAAGUUGCGGAGGCUGGACCUGGACAUCCCUCCCGACGGUCAUGUGCUUUCCAUCAUCAAAUGGUCCAGUGGGGCGAGCAAUGCAGUGUUGCUGGAUAUAACUUACAAACAUUUUCCUAAUGGGGGCCCAAUUUCUUGUACCGUGUCCAUCGUCCUUGACUUGGAGACUAAGAAGAUGUCCAUGGAACAUUUGAAUUACUACUCAGAUCCCUCCUCCCUCCUCUUGGAGAUGGACCUUAAAUCUCGGUUACGAGCCAUGAAAUUUUCC
Molecule: ribosomal RNA, 735 nt
Filed under: Triticum aestivum (bread wheat)
Lineage: Eukaryota; Viridiplantae; Streptophyta; Magnoliopsida; Poales; Poaceae
Description: partial small subunit ribosomal RNA
Source: RNAcentral